AGCUUUCAGUCACUAACCACAUUCUCUUUUUGUCCUCUUUCUUUUAUUUUAGGAAUAAGCAUUUUGCAUAUGUUGCCAUACUUGUCCGAGUCUGAAGGAAAGGAUUCGGUGCAGCUUAAAGUACCUGCAUCAAUAUUCAUUUAUUCCCCAUACAUUCUUAUGGGUUGGUUACUUCUUCUUGUAUUAGGAUCCAGUUUAACAGUACUACUCUUGCUGAAGGAAAGGAAGGAGGAUCUUGAGAGCUGGAAUAAGAAACUGAAGAAAGACUAACCAGAGAAAUUAUCAGUACAGGUUCUCCUAUUCACCAGUGCCAAACAUUUUAACCUUAGGAGUAUUAAUUGGAGGCGGAGUGGCUUGUUGAACUCCGCCCUGUGUCGAAACACAAUUAUGUUUGUUUGUUAAGUGUUACAAUUGUAAGUAUUUACAGUUUUUCUGAAUUGCUAAUACACAUUUCUUAAAACCAUCACUCUUUUUCUCAAAACCUUAAAACAUAUCCAAACCUUCAAACUAAAUUCACAGAACCCCUGACUCUUCUGGCAAAAUCAAUCGCUUCAAAACCAUUUCACCUGUACUCAAAAUCAAACAAAGCUUUCAAAUCAUACACACAUUAGUCAAUAAUAUACACACUACAGAUCAUUCAAUAGACAAUACAUCAAAAAAUGGAGAACACAGUGUCCAGUGCAUGUAGUUACAAAACCUGUUUAUUUUAUUUAGUAUAUAUUUUGCAAUAACACACACACACACACAACAAAAGAAAUACCUAAGUUUGGUGAAUAUAUUUCUGUCAUGACAACUCUCGGAGCGAUUGGCAUGGUAAAGUACAUGACAAUGUUAAUGUAUUUGGUCUUGGCGGAAUAGAUCUGCUACGCUGCUGCUGCUGCGGCAGAGCGAGUACCGAUACUUGCUACUGCCAAUACAUCCACAACAUGCUGCUGUGAGCAUGUAAGAAAUAUUGCUGCUGCAAAUAUAACAUACAUGAAAUAACCUAUAGUGUACAUGAAUCACCUCGUAGCAGAUUUAUACAGGUGGAGCUGGGGAAGGUGGAGGGUUUCUGAAGCAAACUAGUGUUGGGUUGUUCUUGAACGAUUCGUUCAUUUUGAACGAAUCUUUAAUGUGACUCGGGAAGAACGAGUCGUCUCCGGGAGUGAUUCGUUCAGUCACGCAUGCGCAACAUCCUAUAGGUUCUGUACUGGAAUUAGUCAAGUAGUUCACCUGUUUCGAGUCUUCGGGUUUUUUGAGUCAUUCGUUCAUCACGUGACAGA
Molecule: long non-coding RNA, 1262 nt
Filed under: Sinocyclocheilus grahami
Lineage: Eukaryota; Metazoa; Chordata; Actinopteri; Cypriniformes; Cyprinidae
Description: lncRNA (ENSSGRG00000041223.1)
Source: RNAcentral